UGCACAAAAACAAAGCAAAAACAAUUAGCUCGUCGGAUAUAAAAUGAGUUGCACCUUCGACUUGCAGACGUUCAACGUGAAAGUAUCGUCUUCCGACGAUUCUAGUUGCUGCUCCUCGUCGACAAUUGGCUUCUCCACAUACACAGCCGCGUUGCAGGUUUCCUUGGAGGUGGGGUCCUUCGCGUCGACAGCGCAGCUUCGUACCCGGCACGUCGUAGGGAAGAUAUCCUCGUACGUGUACUUUAUACUGUGAACAUUCAUCCUUCAUUUUAUUACUCGAUAAAAAGAGAAAUUACGGAAGCGACCGGGACCGAAAAAAGUGCGACCGCGUGUUUCGUCGUCUGUACCUGCAACCGUUCUCCUGCUGCAUCGUGAAUUCCAAUUCACCCUGGCCAUUGUAGGAGAUGUCGGUGAAUUGCUCGGCAAACGUGGAUAUAAACGGCCCAAGGAUUUGGAAGGCCGUUAUUCGUACCCAUUUUGACUCGUCGUUCAGAUGUGCGGCUAGAAGAUCAGCUAGUAACAAUCUACGGUGCUGACGAGUCAUGCAGCAGGACACCGACAUCAUUACGUCGACGCAUGCUUUCCGGAUGCCCCAUAAUUUGUCGCAGCUCAGGUCGACGUAGAUGGGGAACUGCAGGAACAACAGAAACAAAAUAGAGGGCAACGUAUCGACGUAGGAAAAGCUUCUCCGUCGCCUCCUUCCCGAUCAGCGGGGCUAUGUCGAUCAUGAGCUGCACAUCGAUGUGAAACUAGACGUUACAUUUUGAGGUUUCUAAACCCGUCGAGCUCCUACGAUAGACUGAUCGAACGGAUGGUCGCCGAAGGAAAGGAGGCGGACAGCGAGGGAACGAAAGGGACUAGCGGCGAGUAACGAUUUGCACCGCGUAACGAUUCUGCGCGUGGCGACACUGCGCCUGGCGAUUCUGCGCGUGGCGAUGCUGUGCGUGGCGAUUCUGCGCGUGGCGGCGAUUCUGCGCGAGUCUCGGACAAAGAAACGCAACAUUUCGGACGUGUCGGCGUCUCUCACGCGCGAUAUAUAUUUCCCCUCGGUUUUCUACGCUCGUGGUCGUCCCCCGUGUUGAUUCGGAACGUCUCUCUCGUCCGGUCCGGCUUACGGUCGUGGUUUAACGAAGACAUAAAUCGCGCCGUUCCGCUCAUCAAAGCUGGCUGUGAUACGAGUCCAAGCCACCACAUCACAACCACUCUGAUGGGAGGAACAGUCGAACUCGCGUCGCCGAACACCUGGAAAUAAAUUCACCGCAGGAGGUGGUACCGAAACGAAUCGGAUCGAAUCGUAUCGAGUCGGACAGGGAUGCUGGAUACGCUCGCAUCUGUUUGAUCGAUCGGCUCUCGCGCGGGGGGACACGGGAGCCGGGUGCGGAUCGAUCGCCGCCCACGAUUUUCGAGGACCGUCUUCUUCUUCUCGGCGCCCGCAUGCGCGCCCCCGCUCGUCGAAAUCAGUGGGUCAUUGUUCAACGACGAAUUUAAUUGUUCGCAGGCUGGGGGCGGGGGGAGGUAGGCCGCCAGAAGUGAAUCAUCGCGCGGCGAGAACGCGACAGACGCGUCUGUGUAUGUGUCACUCUACGCACGUUCUCGCGUUCUCCGGCACGCUUUUCAAGGUUAUAUAAACGCUCUCCCAUAGAUUUUGGAAGACGCGUCUGUCGAUCAAUUUUGAUAUUUAAUUAUUAGCCUCGCUCGUACACGCAAUGGACAUACAUCGAGCAUGCAGAAUAAAUGUAACCCUUUGCACUCGAAACAGAUUUGUGGAAACGUUGAGAUUACGUUGUAGUCGGAGUCGAGUUCAAAGAAAAAUUGUGAUGUUGAUCGGUGAUUUUCUAGGAACCGAUGAAUAAAAGAUUUCGCGUUUUUAAUUAUGCAUUUUACGUGGCUACCUUACAGGUACAAAGAAAAAUAUGUAAUUGGAAACAGAUGGUGCGUUCCGAUAUGAAUAUAUUGUGUCGCAGUAUCGGCGAGAUCCGAAUGCGAAGGUUAAAUGUGUCUCGAUUCGUUUAAAAUCAUAAAGCGUUUAGCGACGGACACAUUUUUAGCAAACGCCGGCGAUUCUCCAGAAUACCUGGUAUAUCGUGGCGUUGCUGCAUUUCCAUGCUCAUCGGCAAGAGCUAGAAUACAUAAAAGGUGCGGUACAAUUAGAAACGAGUUCUCAUUUUUUUACUAAUUUACUAUCUAAACGGCGAUCAUAAUUUUCUAUCGAACGCCCCUGAUUUCCAAAUAGACGCGGUAUUUCACUGGAAGUUCCUACUCUAAAUACUUAGUAAUUCUUACCCUUGCGUACAUAUAAAGGUCCGAAACAAGGGGAAGCGAGUUCUUUUUCCUUACUAUCCUUAUUAUCUAAGAGGCAAUUAGACACUUUUUCCCGUCUUAUCCUAUUGACACGACGGGUAAGAAGGGAGGAUAUAAACGCGAAAGUACCUUCUUGUCUUGUGAUUGCUAUGAUUCCUUUGACUAUCACCCGCGAUACUCCGGGACACCUGGUAUAUCGCGGCGUUGCAACAUCUAUACAUGGGACACGGAUAGGUACAGAACAAGUAGAAGCAAGUUCUUAUUCUUUUACUGACUAACCAUCUAAGAGUUGAUUAUUAUAAAUUGCUACUGAUCGCCCCGCGAUUCCCUGGGACAGCUGGUAUGUCGCGGGACGUUUCAAUACACUAACAUUUGAUCCUACGGGAUGAGUAAAAGAUAUAUAGAACAAGUGGAAAAACGAGUUCUUAUUCCUUCACGAUCUUAUUAUUUAAGAAGCAAUUAGGCACCCGUCGUCUCUUGCUAACUUCGGCAGUAGGACAGCUAGCAAGGGGGGGGGGGGUUUCGUCAUGCGGUUUCGUCGUAUGAACGCUAUAUUAUUUACACGACCGCGCGUACAAUUCUCCGAGGCAUCCGGUAUAUGGCGGGGUUACUACAUAUAUUUCACGGACUUCAUCGGAUACGUAAAAGAUACAGAACAAGGGCAGACGCAUUCUCGUUCUUUUACUGACUUAAUAUCUAACAGGUGAUUAUUAUACUUUUUUCUAUCAACCAUCUACCAUUCCCUGGGACACCAGGUACAUCGCGAGACCUUUCUACGUUAAUGAAACUGUCGGAACCGACGAGCAAAAGGUUCAAAACAAGCGAACAAGUGUACAUCGAGUUCUUUCCCUUUUACUAUUUUAUUAUCUCCGAGACAAAUAGGCACGCUCCCUCUGGUACUAGCUGUUACAUUAGGGCAGCUAAUAAGAGGGGAGAGGAGGGAUAUAUACGCUAAGGUGCUUUUCUUGUCGUGUUGAUUGUUGUACCAUUUUGACAAAUGCGCUAGGUUGGCCGGCACACCCGAUAUGUCGGGCGUUCCUAUAAACGCAUGUGCAGUCAAAUCCGGAUGUGUAAAAGAUGUAGGACAAGUAAAAACAAGUUCACAUUCUUGUGCCGAUUCGUUAUCUAUUCGUGCUCUUUUAUCGGUCGCUCACGAUUCCCUGGGACACCGGGUAUAAAUAGGCGCGUUUCGUUCAAACGAUCGUACAAAUGCGUUGAAACGUUUCCUAUUGUUUUUCUCCCGACCUCGAAGAGAAUCGUGGAUACUCUUGCGUUGCGCUCUUUAUUAUACCAUCGGGUUUUGCGUUUGUAUAAAGGGUUCUAACCGUUCGAGUUCCAGGGCUCGUUGAGAAAACACAGUCGAAAAAUGGCAAACUUGAAUAAUUUUUCUUUAACACUAAACCGACCGAUCUGUAAUGAUGAUUAGCGCGCAUUGACUCGUAAGAGUGAAAAGAUAGAAUUCAUUUGGAUUUUGUACAGUUUUAAUUAUGUGACUUGUUUCAAUAAUAUAAUUUAACACUAAACCGACCGAUCUGUGUGUAAUGAUGAUCAGCGCGCAUUGACUCAUAAGAGUGAAAAGAUGGAAUUCAUUUGGAUUUUGUACAGUUUUAAUUAUGAGACUUGUUUCAAUAAUAUAAUUUGACACUAAACCAAUCGACUUGUAAUGAUGAUUAGUGCGCAUCGACUCAUAAGAGUGAAAAGAUAGAAUUCGUUUGGAUUUUGUAAAGUUUUAAUUAUGCGACUUGUUUCAAUAAUAUAAUUUAUUCGAUCAUUUUUCACGAAGAAGUCUUCAAAGUUUGUAGUAUCGUGAAAUAAAAAAAUCGUUCAUUUUGACCGCGGUAGAUUUAGUGUUAAAAACUGUUGGUCAUAAUUCUAUCGAAAACCAACGCAUGUUUUGAAAACAAUUAUUUAAGUUUUCCAUAUAUAUAUAUAUUAGAAAAUAGCAAUAAAUUACAACAAAAUCGUGAGUGAGUCAAAUUGACUCGUUUCGGCAAUUUAGUGUUAAAAUCGAUUGCGAAGAGAACCAAGCGGCGCCGUAGCGCUCGUGAAGGUUGACGAACAAAACAAAACUAAAAAAGGAAAAAAACAGCUAUGCGAUGUACGUCGUGUGUAGGAAAGUUUGGGUACGACACCAAAUCUAAACAGAGUGAUCGCGCUGCUUUUUUAAUGUAAUGUAACCAUUUUUUAUGAUUUUAUACUGCUAUUAUUGUUAGUAUUAUUAUUAUUGUUAUUAUUAUUACUGUUAUUAUUAGUAUUAUUAUUGUAAUUACUACUACCAUUAUUAUUACUGCGUUCAAUUUUUGUAGAGAUAUUGUAAGGACCUUUGGUCCGUUGAUGUUAAAUAAAUCAAUCAAUCAAUAAAU
Molecule: non-coding RNA, 4664 nt
Organism: Megalopta genalis
Lineage: Eukaryota; Metazoa; Arthropoda; Insecta; Hymenoptera; Halictidae
Source: RefSeq, a predicted model, not a curated record